GACGAACGCUGGCGGCGUGCCUAACACAUGCAAGUCGAACGGAAAGGCCCUGCUUUUGUGGGGUUCUCGAGUGGCGAACGGGUGAGUAACACGUGAGUAACCUGCCCUUGACUUUGGGAUAACUUCAGGAAACUGGGGCUACUACCGGAUAGGAGCUCCUGCUGCAUGGUGGGGGUUGGAACGUUUCGGCGGUUGGGGCUGGACUCGCGGCUUAUCAGCUUGCUGGUGGGGUAGUGGCUUACCAAGGGUUUGACGGGUAGCCGGCCUGAGAGGGUGACCGGCCACAUUGGGACUGAGGGACGCCCCAGACUCCUACGGGAGACAGCAGUGGGGAAUAUUGCACAAUGGGCGGAAGCCUGAUGAAGCAACGCCGGGUGCGGGAUGACGGCCUUCGGGUUAUGAACCGCUUUCGCCUGUGACGAAGCGUGAGUGACGGUAAUGGGUGAAGAAGCACCGGCUAACUACGUG
This 468-nucleotide ribosomal RNA is filed under the name uncultured bacterium. Its description in RNAcentral is "partial 16S ribosomal RNA". It matches the Rfam family "Bacterial small subunit ribosomal RNA", at positions 28 to 507 of the family's 1533-position model. The record is from RNAcentral.